RNAcentral lists this ribosomal RNA (255 nucleotides) under Escherichia coli. Its description in RNAcentral is "partial 23S ribosomal RNA". It matches the Rfam family "Bacterial large subunit ribosomal RNA", at positions 1124 to 1377 of the family's 2925-position model. Lineage: Bacteria; Pseudomonadati; Pseudomonadota; Gammaproteobacteria; Enterobacterales; Enterobacteriaceae. The record is from RNAcentral.
UAAAGAAAGCGUAAUAGCUCACUGGUCGAGUCGGCCUGCGCGGAAGAUGUAACGGGGCUAAACCAUGCACCGAAGCUGCGGCAGCGACGCUGAUGCGUUGUUGGGUAGGGGAGCGUUCUGUAAGCCUGCGAAGGUGUGCUGUGAGGCAUGCUGGAGGUAUCAGAAGUGCGAAUGCUGACAUAAGUAACGAUAAAGCGGGUGAAAAGCCCGCUCGCCGGAAGACCAAGGGUUCCUGUCCAACGUUAAUCGGGGCAG